AUACAUUAUAGCUCUUUCAGAAUUUUUCUGGUAGGUUUUCUGACUUUUACUGGAAACCAUC
RNAcentral lists this small nuclear RNA (61 nucleotides) under Otolemur garnettii (small-eared galago). RNAcentral's name for it is "U7 small nuclear RNA". It matches the Rfam family "U7 small nuclear RNA". Rfam says of the family: Animal histone pre-mRNAs are spliced by a different mechanism than nuclear pre-mRNAs and self-splicing introns. This processing involves the U7 snRNP, which contains only one RNA species: U7. The 5' end of U7 RNA is thought to base-pair to a conserved spacer element downstream of the cleavage site in histone pre-mRNA. The record is from Rfam by way of RNAcentral. Lineage: Eukaryota; Metazoa; Chordata; Mammalia; Primates; Galagidae.